Molecule: RNA transcript, 1050 nt
Organism: Asparagus officinalis (garden asparagus)
Lineage: Eukaryota; Viridiplantae; Streptophyta; Magnoliopsida; Asparagales; Asparagaceae
Gene name: 54S ribosomal protein L19, mitochondrial-like
Exons: 4
Source: RefSeq, a predicted model, not a curated record
CCCUGCUCUCUUUUCUCUCUCACGCGUACCUCGUCUCUCUCCCUCCAUUUCCGCUCUCUGAACCAAAAAAAAAAAAAUAAAAGCCCAGAUCAUCUCGACCAUCCAUCAUCGGCUCGUCCCCCGUCCCAUCUCCGGCCAGCGGCACUCCAUCUCCGGAUCUAUUGAAGAGAUCAUGUCAAUCUUGAAAGACGUUGCAAUUCGUCGCCCUGUCUCGGCCACAAUCCGGCUCACUGUCCCAGCUGGAGCUGCUCGACCAGCCCCACCAGUGGGACCCGCCCUCGGUCAGUAUCGUCUAAACCUAAUGGCAUUUUGCAAGGAUUUCAACGCCAGGACUCAGAAGUACAAGCCUGAUGCACCAAUGGCAGUCACGAUCACAGCGUUCAAAGACAACACUUUUGAGUUCACCGUCAAGUCUCCUUCAGUCACUUGGUAUCUUAAAAAAGCUGCUGGAAUUGAGUCAGGAAGCACUCGGCCUGGUCACAUUGUUGUAUCCAGUAUAACUCUUAAGCAUGUUUAUGAGAUUGCGAAGCUGAAGCAAACUGACCCAGGUAGUCAGCACAUGUCGAUUGAGGCUAUAUGCAAGUCUAUUAUUGGUACUGCCAAUAGCAUGGGUAUUCAAGUCGUGAAAGAGCUUUGAAUCGUAUCACCAUUUUACACUUGUUGAAGGGACACACUUAGUAUUACAGUGAAUUGCUCAGACCAAGUCUAUACAUUAGGUUGAUCAAUUGGUAUUAGAGCAAAUAAGAUCCUACUGCGAGGGUUUACUAUGCAUGGUCGCAACUCGACAAAGAUCAUAUGACAUGGGAGCUAGAUCAAAUAAAGAGCUCAAGUUACAAUAGCAAAAAAUACCUCAACAAAUGGCAGAAUACGAUUUUGCAUCACGGAUGGCUAGGAUGGAGAUACACAUGGAUUCUUUAAUGACCGUGACGGAAAGGUGGUGUUUUAGGUUUCUUCAAACCCUUCUUCUUCUAAACAAAACACAAAAGAUUCUACAAGAGAUGCUAGAUCGGCAAAAUUAAACAAAGCAGUAGUUUUAGAUGAUGAAUAUAA